RNAcentral lists this transfer RNA (67 nucleotides) under Nesophrosyne sp. 58 GMB-2012. RNAcentral's name for it is "tRNA-His". Lineage: Eukaryota; Metazoa; Arthropoda; Insecta; Hemiptera; Cicadellidae. The record is from RNAcentral.
AUUUAAGUAGUUUAUAUCAAUAUAAAAUGUAGGGUUGUGAUUCCUAAGAAGUUAUUAGCCUUAGAUU